RNAcentral lists this long non-coding RNA (218 nucleotides) under Mytilus galloprovincialis (Mediterranean mussel). Lineage: Eukaryota; Metazoa; Mollusca; Bivalvia; Mytilida; Mytilidae. The record is from RNAcentral.
CUGGAUUUUGCAGACUACUUCUUCCUAUGUAGAUAAGCUAGUACAGGAAAGAUUCUGCAGAAGGAGUGUGGAAUAUUCUGACAUGUGACUAAAGAAUCCAGGGACAGCUUCUUAGAAAACUUGAGACGCCACAGCUUACAGUGUUCCAGCUGCAUAGUUUUCACAGAGCUGUCUGCCAACCAUUUCAGGACUGAGGUCUUGUGCCCUUUUUAUACCCC